Long non-coding RNA from Cercocebus atys (sooty mangabey), 4723 nucleotides. RefSeq lists it as uncharacterized. NCBI's taxonomy places the organism in Eukaryota, Metazoa, Chordata, Mammalia, Primates, Cercopithecidae. The record is from RefSeq and is a predicted model, not a curated record. The transcript has 4 exons.
CAGACCUCGUGAUCCGCCCGUCUCGGCCUCCCAAAGUGCUGGGAUUACAGGCUUGAGUCACCGCGCCCGGCAAAGUGAUUGUUUUAAGGGUGUAUACAUGUGUCCAAACUUACCUGGUUUACACGUGAAAGAGUUUGAUUGUAACUCAUAUUUCACCAGAGUUGCCCAAGUAUGUUUCAGACAAGUUCAGGUGUGUUCAGGGUGGUAUGGGCGUAGAUGUGUACUAGUAUAUUUUACUUUCUUUCCCAUGAAAGAGAAUCUUUCUCUAACUCCUCUUACUGCCCAGCGCCCACAACACCAUCAGAGCCCUGCAGUGGUCACCCUGUAAGGUUCUCUGUCCCUUUAACAUAGAGUUAUUUAGUGCAUUGCACACUGUGCUAAUUUCCCAUGAAUCCCAAACAAUUUGUUAGAAUAUUGUGCGAUUACCUGCUCAUGAGCAGAACCCCACUCUGCACUCAGACCCAGGUCACAGUCACCUCUUCCCCUGGUCCCUGUGGAAGGAGUUUCUCAGGCCUUUGCUCCCAGGGCCCUCUGCGUUCCCACCUCUCUGCAGUCUCCUCACAUUUGAUGUUCAUCAUUUUUCAGAUGUCCCUUUCAAGUAGUAUUUUGGAUAGCCUUUGGUUGAAAUGGCUAUUAAUACCUGUUUUCUUGGGACAUAGCAGGGAUGUGGCCAUGGAUGCUGUGGACUGACAGUAAACAGACUUUCAGGAGACUCCACGCACGUGAUUUCCGCCAAGAGACUCCAGUCUGGCCAGUGAGCAGCAGGGGGCACUGUGGGUCUACCUCAUAGACUGCACAGGGUGAGCCACAGCUGUGCCAACCCCCACCCCCAAUUCCCCAGGGCUGGGCAAUGGAGCCUGCACCCACUGAGGCAGACUCAGCAGCUGUGCCCUCUUUUGGUGUGGUCCCAAUACCUGCCUCCUCCCAGGUCCUGCCUGCUAGAGUCCCCUCUCCACCAGCCCCCAGCUCCUAAAUAAAUGCAUUAGAGGAGGAGAUGGGCAGUGAGGGGGACACAUUGACAUCAUAAUCCCUCCUGUAUGAGGCCUGGGGAGGGGAUAAGAGGCCUGUAUCCAUAACCCCUCCUCUAUGAGGCCAGUGGAGGGAGUAAGAGAGGCCUGCUCCAGCUCUGGACCUCAGGAGGGCUGUGUCCACGCAUGACCUGGGCUGCUUGUUUCCUCCUGCUUCUCUCACUUCUCAGGUAGGGACAGGGCUCACAUUUGCAGGGACAGCUUCUUAGCCUGAAUGAAUCACCCCUGGUAUGGAUGUCCUCUAAGCUUGGAAUUUUCUCCUGUUUCCUUAUCCAUGUGUGUCUGUAGGUUUCUUCUCACAGCCUGUGCUGACUCAGCCACUCCCUCUCUGCAUCUCUGGGAGCAUCGGCCAGACUCGCCUGCACUCUGAGCAGUGGCUUCAUUUUUUCGUGCCUAUCACAUGUCUUGGUACUAGUAGAAGCCAGGGAGCCCUCUCCAGUUUCUCUCAUACUACUACUCAAAAUCAAGUAAGGACCAGGGAGCUGGGGUCCCAAGUCAUUUCCCUGCAUACACACAUGCCUCAGACAAUGCAGGAAUUCUGCACGUUUCUGGGCUUAAGGCAGAGGAUGAGGCUGAUCUUGUAAAACAUCGUGGCAACAGUAACACGCAAUGCUCCAGACCUAGGCGGAAGUGAGAGUGAAACCACCUCUGCGUUCUCCAUGCCUGGUAUAGUCAUCACUGCCCUGCCCGGGACGAAGUGUAGCUCAGGGGUGAUUUCUGCUUUCACUUCUUCAGUUAAGCCUACUUUCCUAGGAUCUGUAAAUGUAAACAUCUUUUUGCUUUUUCUUAGCUAAAAUGUUAAUUUGAUUCUUUGCUAACACCCUUUUCCCCAAUUAUGUUUAUAGUGUCAUCAAUCAGCUCUCAGGAUUCAGCAUCCUUCCAGGGAGAUGAUGGAGGAGAAAGGAGGUGGUGACUCCUCCCAUGCCUAGCCUUGGGCCUAGGCCUGACUCAGAGACGUGUGUGAUCUGAGAGCUUCUGUUCCGUGGUCCAGCAAACCCCAGGCCCGCUCCACUGAGCACCUUCCAGACUGAAGUCACUUUCCCUACAACUGCUCAUUUCAACUUCUUCCUGGGAAUUGUUCUACCCUCUUGAGGCCCAGAGGAAGCAAAUCUGUGUGGCUCCAGGGAUUUUGGGCAAACAGGGUCUUCUCCAUAGUGAGAUGUGACUGUGUCUGUGACCUUCCUGUGUGCACAGGACAGCCAGACUCAGGCGUGCUCCCCCUCAGAGUCAGGUUCUGUAACAGACGUCCCACUCGUGCAUCCCGUGCUUCCUUUCAGAGUCAGGUUCUGUAAUAGACAUCCCACUCCUGCAUCCCGAGGUCAUCUGCUGCUCACGCUGAGACUUCAGUGAGUCUAGGGACUCUCGGGGAUGAGGGACAUUCUCAUAUGAAGAAGAUCCAUCCCACAAAUGUUUCGAUGGAGGAUCGUGGAUCUGUAGGGGAGCUGUGUCCACUCUGAGAUUCCAGGAAGUGACUCUGUGGACACCUUGGCCUGGCCUCCCCUCCUCUGCCUUCUCUGCAGAAAAGCUCCUUCAUUUUCCCUCUUUUCCAUACCCAGGACAGAAUAGAGUCUUUGUACUGGCUUCAGAUAACUGUGAGAGUUAAAAGGGGUAAUCUGUGGGUGACUCCAAAGCCCCUCUCAAAGUUAACUGACUUGGGCUUGUCGUGACUGCACGUGCUCCCCUUCCCAUGACAUCAGCUUUCCCUGAGUUCCCCAGGUGCCCUGAACAUUGAUUCCUGUCUUGUCCUGCAUCUCCCCUGAGCAGCUACAGAUUCUUCCUCCAUAUAACCUCCCUCCUUGCAUGAUUUCUCAUCCGCUUAAUUUAUUAAAAGAUAGAGAAUCUGAGGGUUUUUCCUCUCGGAGUACAAACCCCAAACUACUCAGCUGCCCUGGCCCAGCCCAUCUCUUCUCCUUAUGAGGUUUAUGAGAGGCAGAAGAGCCACGAGCCUUGCUAUUCUUGGAAAUGUCCCAAUAAAGCCCAAUUGGUGCCAACACUAUAGGACAGAGUGCUGUUUGCAUUUGCAGAUGGAGCCCGUUGAGGACAAUUUUCAUUCCUGAAUAUGGAUAUUUGGAAGCGUGGACCAGCUGAGCUGGGGAGGGGAGGCACUCCCUCGUUUUGGACACAGCCUGUUGGGCUGGGAUUGCUACUGACCUCGUGGUGAUGGGGUUAUGUUGCCUCUCAGAAGACAAAAGAUCAGAAAAGUGGACCAGAUUUUCACUCUGAACUGAAACAGAUCUUCAAAAUGAAGUCUCACAUUUUCAACUGACAUCAGAAAGGUAAUGAUACAAAAAUUAUGGAAUUGGAAAAGGAAUGUAAGGCGAUUUAGGUUAAUGUGAAAACUUCUGCAGUUCCUGACACACCUUGGGAAUUUAUUGAAUACAUUUGCACAUGAGAAAGCCGCUGUCCAGGUCAGAGAAAAUUACACAGACAUGAUGGGCAGGAGAAAUGGUGGGAAGUCAGGACUGGGCAGAGGACCUGAAGACAUGAGGAUGAUGCACAGGUCAAAGAGAAGAUUCUCACCAUCGCUGAUGCACACAAAAGUGUAAGUGAAAAUGACACUCAGAUUUCAUCUCACUCCAGUUAGAAUGAAUACUAGCAACAUUUGAUGGCAGUUUUGUUUCUAUAGAGAAUGUGUGUGUGUGUGUAUGUAUACAACCCAAGGGUGCAAGGGACGUUUUCACAUAUGUAUGUGUAGCAUCAUGAUCAAAUUAUCGUCUCUGGCAUCUCUGUGACAUUCCAUCAUUAUUAUUUCUCCGUGGAGAGAAUAUUCAGAACCAUAUUUUUCAGCUGAUUUUGAAAAAAUUUUCUAGAUUCUGUUGACCCUAGUCACCUAGUCACCCUGCUGUGCAGUAGAACACCAGGACGGAUUUCUUGUAUCUGGGUGUCACUCUGUACCUGUUACCAAUAUCUAAGUGUGGUUUUGAUUUACAUUUUGCUGUGGUUAGAGAUGUUUGCCAAGUUAUCAUGAACUUGUUUGAAUUUGAUGUGUAAGACUGGCCAAAGAACCUGAAGACCUGAGAAGGAUGCACAGGUAAAAGAUUCUGAAUCAACAUUACUGAUCCUCACGAGAAGUCAAUCAAAACCACACUCAGAUAUCACCUCACUCCGGUGAGAAUGAACAUUACCAAAAUGGGACAGCAGUUUCAUUGUCGUAGAGUAUGUGUGUAUAACCAGCAGGUGCAAGGGACCAUUUGAUCUGUGUAAACGUAGCAUCAUAAUGAAGUUGCAGUGUCUGGCACCUCUGUGAGCUCCAGAGUUAUGAUUUCUCUGUGGAGAGAACAUUCACAACUGACCUUUGUAGCUGUUUUGAAAAUUUUGGUUUUCUGUUCUUGCCUUUUGUUCAUAAUGGCGUACGGCGCUGUCCAGGUUUCUGGUAAGAGCAUGGAUGUUUUUUUAUGAUUGUGUAGUGUUCCGUGGUGUGUAUGUACCACAUUUCCUUUCUCUGAUCCACUGCUGAUGGGCACCAAGGCUGACUCCAUGUCUUUACCAUUGUGAGUAGUACUGCCGUGAACAUACGAGUGCAUGUGUGUUUUUCAUGGAAGAAUUUUCCCUCAGGUAGAUCCCUUAGGAGUGGGGUUGCAGCGUUGGGUGGUAGUUCUCUUUUAGGUUCUUUGAGAAAUGUCCACACUGCUCCCCAGGGGAUCUGAACUAGUUUGCAUUUCCCCCAACAGUGGACCUGCAUUUCUUUGCUCAUC